AUGAGUGUGGCCCGGGGGCCGAGAGAGGAGCCGCUCGAUUCCCCCCCUCCAUACCCCUUCCUACUCGUCACACUGGGUUGCAGGAAUGAGCAGCCGCACGGACGAACCUGAGCAAAUCCUAAACAAUGCGAGACAGCAGAGACACACAGCUGGAGAUAGUUAAUCCUUCAGACUGAGAUCUGAGGUACAACAAGAGGAAGGGGGGAAAAAAAGGAAAGCGGGUCGGCUGAGACAACAGGAGCAUCAGAGGAGGGGAUGGAGAGGAAAGCUGGACGGAAGAAAGGCAAGCGCUGGUGGGAAAGUGAACAGACACAGCCUACUUUAUUCUGCCCGUUUCAUCCAUCUUGUUGGGCUAAUAAAACGUCAAGUGGAGUUCCUUGAUAUUUAAUCAUGAAAGGGUGCCUGAAUGCGUGGUGGUGUAGCGCUCCAGCUUGAUGAAGCUUUGGGAGGCUUAAACACAGAAAUGGAGAAAUUUUUGGACUGACCCCAAAAUGAGAGUGUUUCAAAAAGCAGCUGCUUUACAGGGUUACUGCAUAUGUUUCUGGUAAAAUGUCCAUAGCUGUUCUGAUUCAAGCUUCCAACGUUUCCAAGUGUGUUCUUGUCCCCUAAUAAAAUACAAUUAAAUAAAA
Long non-coding RNA from Cyprinodon tularosa, 629 nucleotides. RefSeq lists it as uncharacterized. The transcript has 2 exons. NCBI's taxonomy places the organism in Eukaryota, Metazoa, Chordata, Actinopteri, Cyprinodontiformes, Cyprinodontidae. The record is from RefSeq and is a predicted model, not a curated record.